GAGUUUGAUCGUGGCUCAGAUUGAACGCUGGCGGCAGGCCUAACACAUGCAAGUCGGGCGGUAGAGAGAAGCUUGCUUCUCUUGAGAGCGGCGGACGGGUGAGUAAUGCCUAGGAAUUUGCCUGGUAGUGGGGGAUAACGCUCGGAAACGGACGCUAAUACCGCAUACGUCCUACGGGAGAAAGCAGGGGACCUUCGGGCCUUGCGCUAUCAGAUGAGCCUAGGUCGGAUUAGCUAGUUGGUGAGGUAAUGGCUCACCAAGGCGACGAUCCGUAACUGGUCUGAGAGGAUGAUCAGUCACACUGGAACUGAGACACGGUCCAGACUCCUACGGGAGGCAGCAGUGGGGAAUAUUGGACAAUGGGCGAAAGCCUGAUCCAGCCAUGCCGCGUGUGUGAAGAAGGUCUUCGGAUUGUAAAGCACUUUAAGUUGGGAGGAAGGGCAGUAAAUUAAUACUUUGCUGUUUUGACGUUACCGACAGAAUAAGCACCGGCUAACUCUGUGCCAGCAGCCGCCG
RNAcentral lists this ribosomal RNA (516 nucleotides) under uncultured bacterium. RNAcentral's name for it is "bacterial SSU rRNA". It matches the Rfam family "Bacterial small subunit ribosomal RNA", at positions 9 to 520 of the family's 1533-position model. The record is from RNAcentral.